GACGAACGCUGGCGGCGUGCUUAACACAUGCAAGUCGAACGAUGAAGCUGGAGCUUGCUCUAGCGGAUUAGUGGCGAACGGGUGAGUAACACGUGAGCAAUCUGCCCUUGACUCUGGGAUAACUGCGGGAAACUGUAGCUAAUACCGGAUACUUUCACCGGGGGGCAUCCUCUGGUGAUGAAAGAAUUUCGGUCAAGGGAGAGCUCGCGGCCUAUCGGCUUGUUGGUGAGGUAACGGCUCACCAAGGCGACGACGGGUAACCGGCCUGAGAGGGUGACCGGUCACACUGGGACUGAGACACGGCCCAGACUCCUACGGGAGGCAGCAGUGGGGAAUAUUGCACAAUGGGCGCAAGCCUGAUGCAGCAACGCCGCGUGAGGGAUGAAGGCCUUCGGGUUGUAAACCUCUUUUAGCAGGGAAGAAGCGAAAGUGACGGUACCUGCAGAAAAAGCACCGGCUAACUACGUGCCAGCCGCCGCCGUAA
Molecule: ribosomal RNA, 484 nt
Filed under: uncultured bacterium
Lineage: Bacteria
Description: partial 16S ribosomal RNA
Rfam family: Bacterial small subunit ribosomal RNA
Source: RNAcentral